AAGAUGUAAAACGUCAGUGGACAGACAAAUGGAACAUGAAGUUUGAGGUCACUUAAAUCUGUGUUCCUCACCAUGGCCACUCAUAUUUGGCUCCAGGAUACACUACCUCCUAGCCCCUUAGAGUUUUCUGUACUUUUAAAUGAACAUUAGAAGAUCCUCCUCCCUCUCCUCCUUUAUGCUUCAUUAUUCUCUUUUGGAAAAAGGCUGCCAUGUUCCUGGUAUAGCCAACACCCCUGCACUUUAACCCAGAAUGUUUCCACUGCCCGGUGAGCAUGCUGUCUUCUAGCUUCAGACUCUUGAUCUUCCCCUAUGGAUUAAUUUGAACAAUUAUGCACUGCCUAGUUUUAUGUCAGCUUGACCCAAGCUAGAGUCAUUUGGGAAGAGAGAACCUCAAGUGAGAAGAUAUCCCCACCAGGUUGGUUUGCGGGCAAGCCUGUGGGCAUUUGCUUGAUUGAUGAUUGAUGUGAGAGUUCUCAGCUCUCUGUGGAUAGUGUACCCCUGGGUCCUGAGUGCUAUAAGAAAACCAAGACAGAAGGAAAGGCCAUCCAGAGACUGCCUCGCCUGGAAAUCUAUCCCAUAUACAGCCACCUAACCCAGACACUAUUGCUGAUGCCAAGAAGUGCAGGCUGACAGGAGCCUGAUAUAGCUGUUUCCUGAGAGGCUCUGCCAAAGCCUGACAAAUACAGAGGUGGAUGCUUGCAGCCAACCACUGGACUGAGAAUGGGGUUCCAAAUGGAGGAAUAAUUAAUGAAAGGACUGAGGUAAAAGGUUUGUAACUCCAUACGAAGAACAACAAUAUCAACCAACCAGACACCCUGUAGCUCCCAGGCACUAAACCACCAACCGAAGAGUACACAGGGAGGGAUCCAUGGCUCCAUCCACAUGCAUACAUAGCAGAGGAUGGCCUUGUUGGGCAUCAGUUGGAGGAGAGGCCCUUGGUCCCGUGAAGGCUUGAUGCCUCAGUGUAGGGAAAUGCCAGGGUGGGGAGGUGGGAGUGGGAGGAUGGGUGGGAAACCCCUUACAGAAGCAAGGAGAGAGAAGAUGGGAUGGGGGUUUCCAGAGGGGAAACUGGGAAAAAGGAUUACAUUUGAAAUGUAAAUAAAGAAAAUAUCCAAUAAAAAAAGAAGAGAGAAAAAAAAGAACAAAUAUCAUUAUAUCAUUUAAUAAACACUUAAACAGGAAAAAAAAAAACAGCCUGAGCAAGCCAGCAAAGAUCUUCCGUGGCUUCUGUAUCAGUUCUUAACUCUAGCUCCCUGCCUAGAUUACCUGGAUGACGGACUAUAAAUUGAAAGAUGAAGUAAACCCUUUCCUCUUCAGGUUGCUCUUGGUCUUGGUGUUUUAUCCAGGCAAUAGAAACCCAAUUAAGUCACAUUACUUGUCCUAAUCAGCAGUUUGGUGGCUACACCCAUCCUGUUCUAAAUCUCUUCCACUUGUUUAAAGGUAGCAGGCAUCUGAUUAGUUGUUUCUUUUAAGUGAUUACUUAGCUUCAUUUUCUGUUUUACUCCAAAGUCUAAACUCAACAGUUCAAAGGCAAGGUCAUGCCUCCAAGCCCUAGGAUCUGGCAGUUGUUAGCACAGAAACAUACAGGGCAUCUUGCUUCUUUCAUACUCCUUCUUGAGCAUCUUUCUGGCCAGUUCUAUCUCUGGCAACUUGCUGGUUUUGGUCUGCAUCUCUUUUACAACAUCCAUUUGUAACCAUUUUUCCUCCUUUAACUACUUUCUUGCUUCACUAGGGGUUGCUGUUCUGAGUGCUGCCUUGCUUCUGGGAGACUAGAAGGUGAAUGUUCCUCACAGUGCACCAGAAACUAUCCCUAAAGAAGCAAUUUAUAACCCAGCCCAGCUGCAACACCUAUGAACCACAGCAGUCACCAGCAUGGGGAGAUAACUGGAAAGUUGCACCCGCAUAUAGAUGGUAACCUACAGCUGUCUAAUUGGACUCGAGACCCAUUCAACAGGAGACGAAAUAAUGCCUUGUACUAUAAAUCCAAUCAAAUUCCUAGGGCUACUGAAGUCAUGGGCCUUAAAAAAGUGCUUGCUAGGGGGCUGGGGAUUUAGCUCAGUGGUAGAGCGCUUACCUAGGAAGCGCAAGGCCCUGGGUUCGGUCCCCAGCUCCGAAAAAAAGAACAAAAAAAAAAAAGUGCUUGCUAACAUCACUCUACUAGACCAGCAUGUAAUUCCGUACUAUAGUACUAUAUGUACACAGAUAGUGGGCAUGAGAAUAGCUAAUACAUUUUACAUAAAAGCAUCUCUUCUCUUCUCAGCAAAUAGAGACUACCACAGAAAACUGCAAUGGACACAGUGCAGAGAUCAAUGGAGCAGGAGGAGCAGAGGCCCAGCAGAUUCAGCUCUUGAAUCUGUGACUCAGGAAAUAUAUCAUAAGGGAGGUCAGAAAGAUUGUCAGAGCCAGGAUCGUGAAAGUCUUAGGUUAAACAGUCUCCUCUAGAAAUGACUGCAUGAGCAAAACUGGGACAAUAGAUCUAUCAAACUACAGGGAAGGGUAUAAAUGUCAUAGGUCCCAUUCCUAGACAAAGAACUAAAGAGAACUGAUGACUCCCUAGAGAGGAGAAUUAGCUUCUCUCAGAGAUGAGUACUUUUAUGACUUAUCUCAUACAAAGUGGUCAGCCCUGAAACUAUAUACACAUAAAUAACAAAAAGAGAUUCAGCAGGGUGAAUUUAUAUGCUUGUGCACAUAUAAAUACAUAUAUAGAUAUGUAACUAAUAAAGAAAAGAGGCACUUAAUUUGAGGAUUUGGGCUGGAGUUAAUGAAAAGGGUUGAAACGAGGGUACCUGGGAGAGGCUAGAGAGAUAGAAAGGGAAGGAGGAAAGUGGUAUAGUUCUAUUUUAAUUAAAAUGUAUAAAAAUUAAGCAACGAAAUUAAAUGCAAUGUUUGAGUUCUGCUUUGCAUCUGCCUCUCACAACAGGGGGCCAUCUGGUCUACUCUUGUACAUGUUCUGUACUCAGGAACCCUUUAUAAAUAUUGCCAAGCCUAAAGUCAACAGUGAACUUCAAAUAUGUAUCCCUUUUCAAAAUACCUGCCUUCCAAAUUAUCGUCUUAAAAUGAAGAUGUAUUGUGGUUCCUCUUUUAGAUGUUUUCUCCUCCCCAACUAGAUCCUCUAUUCACAAAAUCUGUCAUGUUAUUUCAACCCAAAGUUCCCCUCUUUCUCUUUCUUCCCUCAUUCUGCCUCUCUCUCUCAUUCUUUCUUUCUUUCUUUCUUUCUUUCUUUCUUUCUUUCUUUCUUUCUUUCUUUCUUCCUUCCCUUUUCUUUCUUCUUUCCUACCCUAUUUUCCUUCCUUCCUUUUAGACAAUUGAACUCUCAACUCUGUCAUCAUGCUAAGUGUUAAUAUUAACCAUGUCACUCUUCUUGGUUAUAUUUUGUUUUUUAUAUUUAUUUCAUCACUUUUAUUUAUUUAUUAAUUGGUGCUACUCUGAGAACAGGGAGCACAUCUUUUUAUCAAUUGCCAUGUGGCAAAUAUCAGUGCCUUGAACAGAAUAGAUAAAUGUGUAAUUUAAUAUAAGCUGAAUGCAAUUAUUUGCACAUGUUCUUGGGUAGACAGAUAGAAUUUCACAUCUGACCUCAGACUACAAUCUUUUAACUAACUUCCAAGUUUCCAUACUUUCAAUCUUCAUAUUGCUGUCCUGAGUUAUUUCCAUAAACUUUAGUUAAGUUUGGUGCCUAAUGCUCUCAUGAGAAAAUUUUAACCUUGAAUAUUCAAGGCCCUCCACUUUCUGUACUACCCUUUGCACCCUACUCUUAACAUUGUGUGCUGGCCAUGCUGGGUCAUGGAUCCCCAGGCCUUCCUUUAUUGUGCUGUGGCCUUAUACUACCUCUUUUAUCCUGUAGGUCACAGCAGAACUUCUAGGCUGUUAUCAUCAUAUUAAGUAACUCCAGGCUGCUCUUCAGCUAAGAAUUACUAAAGAUUACGGAAGACUCACUAACAAAAGGGAUUACAUACGUCAUAAAGCCUCUGAGCCAGACCUGUCAAAGUGUGCCUUUUGGUGAUGGCAAUGCUCUAUAUAGCUUAGACCAAUCCCUCAGAUGCAAUUUCAGAUCAAUCUAGGGAAACAGUGCUUGGCAUACGGCAGGUUUCUCAUCUCCUCAUUUUCUAGAUUCGCAGUGUUUUUACUGUGAUAACCCUCCUUCUAACAGAAGUUCCCAGCCCCUGCCUUUGAUUACUCUCUGGACUCAAAUGAUGGAAUACUACAAUGAAACGACACAAAAGCACUACAAGAGUCUUUCCCAUUAAAUUUUGGGUAAUUUCACUGAAAGUUAAUUGUUGUCUUGCUCGCUCUGCUCACAUGACAAUAAAAACAACUCUGGCUAUAUUAACUUCAUUGUGACUUGUGAAAUGACUGUAUUUUGAAAAAUCUUUGGCAUUAGAAUACAUUCACAAUGAAGAAUUAUCAAAAUGAAUGGACUGUCUGUCCCGAGUGUUUGAACUGUGGGAAACUGGAACAGUAAGUUAAACUUAUUUGUGGAGGUAUGUGGUUUCUAAUCUGAAAUCUGUUUCAGUUUGUUCCACACAAGAGGCCAUGGAAAAUACCAUCUCAAUAAAGUGUAUGCUUUCCAAAGCUCUGCAAGUCAAAACGUUUGAUUUAUUUAUUAUUUUUGUUACUGGCUUUUUCUUUCUACCAAAGGUCAAAUGCCAUGGGGAAUAUGUCUAGUUAAACAUAUUUAUUGAUUGAUUGUCAAAUGAAAAAGUUCUGGAAAUACUUACAUUCCCAUUCGAGACUGGACUUUUCAAAACUUGCACUUUAAAAAAAGCUGGGUAUAGUCAAAUAUGCCUGUAGGCCUACCUACCUCAGAGCCUGACACAGGAGAAUCAUUUAAGCCUAGGAAUUUUGGACUAGCUUGGA
Rattus norvegicus (Norway rat) is the source of this 4854-nucleotide non-coding RNA. The record is from RefSeq and is a predicted model, not a curated record. NCBI's taxonomy places the organism in Eukaryota, Metazoa, Chordata, Mammalia, Rodentia, Muridae.